RNAcentral lists this ribosomal RNA (460 nucleotides) under uncultured bacterium. RNAcentral describes it as "partial 16S ribosomal RNA". It matches the Rfam family "Bacterial small subunit ribosomal RNA", at positions 338 to 795 of the family's 1533-position model. The record is from RNAcentral.
CCUACGGGUGGCAGCAGUGAGGAAUAUUGGUCAAUGGGCGCGACCCUGAACCAGCGAAGUAGCGUGAAUGAUGACUGCCCUAGGGAUUGUAAACUUCUUUUAUAAAAGCAUAACAUGAGGCACGUGUGCCUUUUUGUAUGUACUUAAUGCAUAAGGAUCGGCUAACUCCGUGCCAGCAGCCGCGGUAAUACGGAGGAUCCGAGCGUUAUCCGGAUUUAUUGGGUUUAAAGGGAGCGUAGAUGGGUUGUUAAGGCUGUUGUGAAAGUUUGCGGCUCAACCGUAAAAUUGCAAUUGAUACUGGCAGGCUUGAGUACAGUUGAGGUAGGCGGAAUUCGUGGUGUAGCGGUGAAAUGCUUAGAUAUCACGAAGAACUCCGAUUGCGAAGGCAGCUUACUAAACUGCCACUGACAUUGAUGCUCGAAAGUGUGGGUAUCAAACAGGAUUAGAUACCCGAGUAGUC